AUUUAUGUCUGCAGACGCAUGUAUAUAUACCUACAUGUCAUCAGCUACUACCUCUUCUGUGCAUGUACAGCACCAUAGACAUGUAUGGGACAUCAAUUAAAAGCUAAUCUCUUUUAGAAUCGAACAUGGCUUGGACACACACCUUCACACACACACACACACACAUAUCUGUUUCUGUUUAUUUUUCCAUACAUAUAUAUGAAUUAUGAUUCAAACACACAAAAUAUUAUGUUGUGAAAUAUUGAAAUCCACAUUUUGAAAGGGUUCCAAACUAGAAGAAAACUUAGCAAUUGCCUUUUUCUUUUUUAUGCAUGUAUAUAUGUAUAUUAUUGGUAUUAACCCUUAAAACUAGAGAUUGCUCGGUUCAUAUCUUUUAUGCAAUGAUGAUACCAAAACUUGAAUUUGGUGUAUUAUAAAGUAGUGAUGUUUAACAAAUACAUUAUACUUAUGCAUAUACACACACACACAUAUGUAUAUCUAUCUAUAUAUACGUACACAGAUGCAUAUAUGUAGUCGACGAUACAUUUUCGUAGAUAUCUACAAUAUCAAUCCGCAUAUCCACAAUCCUUAAAGACAUGAUAUCUUAUGAUGUGAAGCUGAGAAUCUCUCCUACGCAGGGGCGGAGCUAGAAUUGUAAGAUUGAGGGGGUCGAGAUAGAAAACACAAGUAUAUCAAAUACAUACAAGUGUUCAAAACGCAUGUUAGAACUAAAUUUUUCAAAAUUAGUCAUGUCUAAUUAUUUUUAAAGGGGCCAUUAAUUAAAAUUACAAGUUGUCUAUUAGUAAGUUGUAAGGGAUCAAAAAAAUGGAGGGCUCAGGGCCACUCCUGGCCUAGGAGUGGCUCCUCCACUGCUCCUGCGUCUUAUCUUUAUGAGUCUAUAAAGAGGGGAAGGACUUGAGUUUCAUGAAUUAAAAACCACUAAUUGAUUUCUCAAAUAUACAGGUAUAUCGAUCUUUCGCUCAUUUCUGUUCCCAAAUGGUGAUUUUUACCAGCAAGAAACCUGGCUUUUCCAAGUUGGUUAUGAAUGAGGACCAAGUCCCAACUCUCUCUCUUUAUACAGAAAAUGAUGGGGACGACGAUGAUGACGACGAUGAUGGAGGAGAUGUGGCGCCAGCAGCAUAGUUAUCAUAGAUUCAUAGUGUUUAUGAAUAAGAGUGGCUUAAGCUUUGAUACUUUCAUCAACUUGAGCUGAACAGAACAUUUGGCAAUAUAUAUAUAUAUAUAUAUAUUGUAAAGAAUCAGCUGCAUGUUAUAAAUUUAUAUUCAUAGGGCAACUAUUUUGUAGCAUACCAUAAUAUUAGGUGUAUGCAUGCAAUUUAAAUAAGCAAAAGAUACCUCCGGUGUGCUUAUACAGUCAUACGCACCAGAGCCAUCUGAGAAAAAAGAAGAAGAAGAAGAAGAAGAAGAGGAGGAAGAAUUCAGGUGUCUAUGUUUUACGACUUUUGGUUGUCUGGGGUGCUCUUCCCCUUAUAUCAUCCUCAUCAUGAGUUGGACAGCUUCUUUUUAUUUUGCAAAGGGCCAGAAAGAGAAAAAUAUUACUUGUAUAUGAUUACUGAGAUCAUGUAUGGCAGCAUGCUGCAAUAUUAAAUUUUAAUAAUAAUUAGUGAUAUCUACUUAUUCGGAGUACGUAAUAUCAAUCUCUCUCUCUCUCUAUUAAUUAUGUCUAUCUCCCCGUAAGUCCAUCCAUUAAUAUAUCAUGGCAACUGAAGAACAUGGAUCUUUUAAAGGAUUUCUUUAUAGAGUUAAUUAUCUUCUUGAUCAUUUCAAUUUCCCCCUUUCAGUUUUGUAUUAUGCUCAAGCAUGGAUUUAUGUUAAUUCAUUUUCCAUUACUAUAGCUGAGCAUAAAAUCCGUGAACUGAGUUUAGAAAAUGUAAGUACUGUGUUUUUUUCCUUCUUAAUUAUAUUUGGUUAUCUUGUCUGCUAGGGUUUUUCUGAUUUCUUGGGUUUAUUUUUCUUGAAAUAGUUUGAAAUAUGUGAGGUUUGGUGCUUGAUAGAUUCAGGUUCACUUGUUUUGCAGCGAACGUCAUUCGCUACCUUUCGUUACAUUAAGUUCAUUUUGAAAUUUGAGACAAAUAAGGUAUUGAUUUGUGGAGAACUGCUGAAAUUUUAAUUUGAGGGUUGUGAAUCUGUGAUCAUAACUUCAGCUUGGAGAACAAUGGCUAGAGGAGCUUCGGUACGUUUAUUGCUUUAUACAAAGUUGCCAUAUAGGCUAGCUGGGAAUAUUGAAAACAAGUUGAAGAAAGUGCUUUCCUUGCUUUACUUUUGUCCGCAUCAAAAGGGUAAUUAAAUUUUCUUCCUUUUAUGACUGCAUAGCUGCAUAGUUGCAUAGCCUUGUCCUUUUUCAUGUAUUCUGAAAUUCGUUGAAUGUAUGUAUACUUUGUGUUUGGUACACUUUGUACUAAUAAUAUGCUAAGGCGCAGCUUGUUAUGCUUGUUCUUUUCAACUAUUCUGUGAGCCCGAUAAAUAAUAGUUCAUUAUUUGUUGCUUCACUUUGCCAAUAUUGCUUGAGGUGAGUUACCUCAAGCAAGAGCAUGAUCUUGGACUGCAAAUUUUCAUGGUUAUUAAGUUUGUAGGUCAUUUUAGAGCAUUAAAUCGACAUAAAAAGAUCUAAAUUUCUGUUAUGUGAAGAUUCAUGCGAUAGGAUUAGUGAGCUGCCAAGAAAUACUAUUGUCAUUCAGGUAUUUGGGUUGGAUUGCUCCUUGUUCUUGUUGUCUUUUGCACUUUACAGUAAUUUGAGAACAUUUUUAUCUUCUAUGCAGGCUCAGAAAGCAGAGAGGGAUGCUACAGAUUUAUAAACUUAGAGUUUGGUGAAAAGGUAAAACAUGAAUUGAAGUUUUAAUUGUAGUUUAUGUGACUUCAAAGUUGAUGAAAUAAUAUAUUGGUCUAUUAUCUCUCGUCUUUUGCAGUGGGAGAAGGGAAAUAGCACAUACACCCAACAACAACUUGAUGAACUGAGAAAUGAAUGGGUAGAAUUUGUGAGUCAUCGCAUGUACUAGCUAUAUAUGUAGUUACCUAGUCACUAUUUUGUGAAUUUUGGCUAUAAAUAGUUAGCCCUAGUCACUAUUUUGUGAAUUUUGGCUAUCGAUAGUUAGCCUACCUAUAUGUAGUCAUCAUGGAGUAACACUAUAUGUUGUAUAAAUGUGGUAGGGUUUUGAACUAUGACAGAAUUGUUAAAGUAAGAUGUAUCUUAAGCUUUUAUGAAAAAUGCAGGUUUUUGAGUAUGAAUAGUCCAUUUGGACCUCAAUAUCCAGGUUGUAUGUAAACAUGGGUGGGUUUCUUGUUCCACAGAGGUAUAAAAUCAUCUUCCCAAUAUGCAAAUCCAAAAUAAAACUACGAUUUACCUUAAAAUAGCAACGUAGAAAUAAGUGUAAGUAGAAAUAAGGAUGACACGUCAAAUUUAUUUUUAAAAUAUAGACGUAGUAAGUCUAGAACUACGUCCAUUUUUAUUAUCAAUUUGACAUUGUAAGAUUCAUACUACGUCUACGACACAUACCACAUCGCUUCUCAAGUAAUACUUGACGUAGCUGUUAUUCAAAAACGUCUAUUUUAUUUUAAAAAAGUGACGUGGGAUAAUACUUCCUAUGACGCUUUUUAAGAUAUAGGGACAUAGAAUGUUGUUUUAAGCAUCGAUUUUUCUUCUAAUGGAACUCGAACGAAGUUGCCUUUGGACAAAAAACGACGUGGAUUAAUAUAUUGCACGGUGGUGAAUCACCGUCGUGGUUAAGGUUUUUAAACCAUGUCGGUAGAGUAGACAUUGCUUUUUCACCUUGAACCACGACGGUUUUCCACCGUCAUUGUUUUCAAUUUUUGGCAUAGUGUAUAUUGCCUCGAUCGUCAUCGUAUCGAUUAGUAACACCAAAAAUACAUCAAGAACUUAUAGGAGAAUAUUAACCUAGCUAUAUUUCAGAGUCAGAAGAUAAUCUAAUUGCUUUUGUUGUUAUAUGCCCUUUUCUUUCACAUAUAACAACUAGCUAAGGCAAUAUCUAAUAUUUAUGAGACUUGCUAUAAUCCUAUCAUCAUGCUCUAACAGAAUCUAAGUUUAUUUUUUUUUUUCUCAUGAAACUUACAAAAGCUUGAGAUCUCUAAACACACCAUUCCACCUAAUCCAUCUCAUACAAUUUGAACAAAAGUAUAUGUGGGUUGAUUAACCAUAUAUAGUCAUAUAAUAAGAAUAUAUGCAUGCAUAAAAAAGAAGUGUCAAUAGGAAUGUAAAAAAAAAAUUUGAUGACUAGCUAGGAUUGUAUUGGAUUGGAAAAGUCAUUAAUCUAAGAUAUGUUGUUAAAGGAGGAAAUGAAGGUCGGUGAAUGAUUUUUCAUUUUGGGGGCGAUUAGGAAGGAUAAUUUAUAAAAUGUUGCUAUCCUACCAUUUUGUGGGGAUUAUGGGAUAAGUUUUCUUCAUUUUUUUUAAAUUUUUUUUUAGGACCUUUCCUAUUGAAAGGGACGAUAAUUAACAUAUUAAACUUACACACACUACAUGGAUGUUAGGACUCGAACCCAAGACCUUUUUUGUGAUCCAAACCACUACUAGUGGGUCCUUUACAAAUAAGUUUUCUUCAUGAGUAAUCUAUUUUUUACCUUCAACAUGACCAUGGGUUUUUCAUUUCUUCCUAUAAGACCAUCCACAAUGGUAAGGUGUAUAUUGAGGUGUAUGUCAAAUAUACACAUUUGGUUGCCGGAAUGUCCUGCAAUGGGGAGGUAUAUAUGGCUAUAAAUGUACAUCACAACCAUGAGAUGAGAAAAAAAGAUACAAAAAUGUACAUCUAAUUUUACACCCAGCCAAGUUGGUCCCGUAACAUAAAAGCCAAGAGAGAAGAGAGAGGAAAGCUAAAAGAUGGGGAAGUUAUUAAAAUGGUAGGCUCAUGGCGUGGAAGUUCUUCUCCAACAAAUCUCUAAUAUAUGGCCAUAUUUCAUUCAAAUUGAAAUAUGAAACUAAUAAUUGCACUGAUCAAUGGUGAAGAAUAAAUUCAUAUCAAAACUGACGAUUCAUAUUAAUUUUAUUUACAUCAUAUUGAAUGAAAUUAUAUCUUAUCAGAAUUUUAAAAUUUUUAAGUCGAUUUGUUCAGAAAAAAUAAUUAAACCUAACACACACAAAAUUAACCCCAAAAUAUUAACAUUAAAAAAAAAUUUGACACAAAAAUUGAAUUAAUACAAGAAAAUCGGAUUUACAUCUUUGAAUCUGCAUCCAACUCAUUGGAGCAAAAAUGAUAUUUGCAUCUCCUGAAGGUGUAAAGGAGAUGUAAAAGUGGCUUUACACCUCCCCAUUGUAGAUGCUCUAACAUACUUAAAAUAUAGGAAGUUAUCAUAUCCAACCCUCGCUAGACAUCAAAUGAGCCCAAAAUUUCACCCAAAAAGAAAUUGGUAUACAUAUAUAUAGUGAUUUCCAAAGAAAAAUUUGAAUACGUUGGGUUCAAUCUCCAAAAUACAAACCACAAUGAAUAUUUUAGAAAAAGGGGUACGUAAUAUCCAGCGUGGCAGACGAGCUGGAGGUGACAGUGGAGCCUGAGAGCGUGCAUGGACUGUUGAUCCCACAUACCGAAUGCGCAGCGCAGGCACUUGCCAUGAGCCUAGCAUACGUCGACAGACCUACAUCCCACUAGGAAAAACGUAUGGAGGGCAGCCCUGCCAUGUCAUCGCUCCCUCCUGUUAGCGCCAAAUUUCGUUGCCCUUUUCAUGUCAACGUGUCCAAUAUCAAGAUCUCAAACAAAUUACAGAGAUCGCAGAAGAAAGCAACAUGUCUGUUGGAAAGGAUAUGGAAUAAGAAUUUGCAUAUGCCAAUAUGAUGAUAUUAUCCCUUUCCCUAUUAUAAAUAUGCAGACAUGUACUGGUGCAGUCUGCAACUAGCUUCCGCAUACACACUGCAUGCUUAUUUAAUUUCUUUGGUCAAUUUCUUAGGUAAGCAGGUCCUUUUUCUUUUUCUUUUUUCUAUAUAAACCCUAUUUUAUAUAUGUCAGUUGCAAUGGUGAGUGUCAAUAGCAAACAGUUACUUGCUGCUUCCAAGUUGGUUUUUAAAAAGGAGGAGCUGUCCAAGACACAGUUUCAUGUUCACCGGAAGAAUGAUUGGGAUGAUGAUGACGACGACGACGACGAUGAUGCGGGCAGUGUUGCACCAGCCGCAUAGCUAUAUAUAUGUUUAUUGGCAUUGAGAGAAUUUGAGGCACUUCCCAGCCUCCUAGGAGUGAGCUUUGACACACUAGUUGAACAAUGUUGUGCUUUGGCACUAGUUGUCUCAGUUAAAGAUUGUUUUUUGUUUUUAAGGAGUUUCAAAUCGAGUACUAUUAGAACAAAAGAGAAAAACAAGUUUCUCGACUCCCUCUGCUAGCUUGUCUUGUUUUUAAUAGUACGUUGACUGAAUAUUAAUCUAAGCUUAAAGUUCAUUACAAAAUCCGAAGUUAUCUGCUUGUCUUGUUUUUUAAGUUUUUAAUGUAUAGGGCCACCAAUAUAAUAAACCACUUCAUUUUGAAAGGCCGAAUAACCAUGCAUAUUCUGAGUCUGUGAGGCAAG
Molecule: long non-coding RNA, 6500 nt
Filed under: Prunus persica (peach)
Lineage: Eukaryota; Viridiplantae; Streptophyta; Magnoliopsida; Rosales; Rosaceae
Description: long non-coding RNA (PPER_LNC003770)
Source: RNAcentral